GUUUCACUAGCGAAUGGCUGAAGUUUCAGCAUAAUGUAUUAUGUUCAUCGUUGACUUGUGAAGUUAUCCUUAAUACUCUUACACGGAUGAAGGUUAAUGCUAUCCUAAUAUCAACAUUUUAAUACAAAAAGGCAACUGAUAAUUCCUUCUGAUAGCACUGAAACGAAACCGAACGAGGUGAGGCAGAAAAUAACAGCCUAGGUGGAUACCUUUGUAACAGCCAUCUAUGGAGGGGGUGACCAGUCGGUUGGGCGUUUAGUAUCUUAUAUCCUUGUGAUUGUGUCGGGAGUGUUUCCUUGUUCAGCUGCUCAUGUGGAUGCUGCAGGACUAACAUGACAAGCUUUUAUACAUUUUGAACUCACGUCAGAGUUCCAGGGCAAGUCUGUUUUCGAUAUGAAAACCAGAUGUGAGACUAGACGAAAUCCAGGAAUGGCUGAAAUUUAUAAACCUGUAAACACAACUACUGCAAAGACGCGCGAGGCCUUCGGUACUGUCAUUUUUUGGCCAUAUGGAAAUGAAACACAUUUUCAUGAUGAAUUGAUGGAGAAGCUUAUUUUAAAGAAAUAUAAGAGGGAAGUUAUAAAUACGUUCUAAGUGGGAGAGACAAAACAAGAGGAAGUCGUAGCGAUGAAACGGAAUAAAAACUGCCAUCUUAGAUGCUGUGGAGGUUCAGACGAUGACAGAACUGACUGAGAUUUGCAUUAAUUCGGCAGAAGUAUUGUGAAUACUGCUCCCCACCACCCCACGCCUCCCGGGAACCACCCAGGGACGCAUGCGCAUUGAUGGUACCGUUAGAUGCUCCAUUUGCGAAGUUCAGAAGAAUAACAUGAACUACUUUGGAACAACAAUGGAUUCCUCUCUUUGCGGGACGCGAGUCGAACAAAAGAAGAAUAGCAGAAACAACGGAGUCUUUCGUGGAGAUCGGGUAAUUUGAUCUUCACAAAGAAAGAAGAGAGAGAGAGAGAGAGAGAGAGAGAGAUGAAAUAAUUUUACGAUUCGCAUUGCGCCGUCUGGGUCCGCUUGUUUUGUCAAGAAGUGA
This is a long non-coding RNA of Macrobrachium nipponense, 1039 nucleotides long. RefSeq lists it as uncharacterized. Lineage: Eukaryota; Metazoa; Arthropoda; Malacostraca; Decapoda; Palaemonidae. The transcript is spliced from 3 exons. The record is from RefSeq and is a predicted model, not a curated record.